Molecule: ribosomal RNA, 497 nt
Filed under: uncultured bacterium
Lineage: Bacteria
Description: partial 16S ribosomal RNA
Rfam family: Bacterial small subunit ribosomal RNA
Source: RNAcentral
GAUGAACGCUGGCGGCGUGCCUAAUACAUGCAAGUCGAGCGAACGGACGAGAAGCUUGCUUCUCUGAUGUUAGCGGCGGACGGGUGAGUAACACGUGGAUAACCUACCUAUAAGACUGGGAUAACUUCGGGAAACCGGAUCUAAUACCGGAUAAUAUUUUGAACCGCAUUGUUCAAAAGUUAAAGACGGUCUUGCUGUCACUUAUAGAUGGAUCCGCGCUGCAUUAGCUAGUUGGUAAGGUAACGGCUUACCAAGGCAACGAUGCAUAGCCGACCUGAGAGGGUGAUCGGCCACACUGGAACUGAGACACGGUCCAGACUCCUACGGGAGGCAGCAGUAGGGAAUCUUCCGCAAUGGGCGAAAGCCUGACGGAGCAACGCCGCGUGAGUGAUGAAGGUCUUCGGAUCGUAAAACUCUGUUAUUAGGGAAGAACAUAUGUGUAAGUAACUGUGCACAUCUUGACGGUACCUAAUCAGAAAGCCACGGCUAACUACGUG